GGAGAGGUGCAGGAGUGGUUGAACUGGCUCGCCUGGAACGCGAGUAUGGCAGCGGUGCCAUCUGGGGUUCGAAUCCCCAUCUCUCCGCCA
RNAcentral lists this transfer RNA (90 nucleotides) under Candidatus Nomurabacteria bacterium. RNAcentral describes it as "tRNA-Ser". It matches the Rfam family "tRNA". From Rfam's summary of the family: Transfer RNA (tRNA) molecules are approximately 80 nucleotides in length. Their secondary structure includes four short double-helical elements and three loops (D, anti-codon, and T loops). The record is from RNAcentral. Lineage: Bacteria; Candidatus Nomuraibacteriota.